This 73-nucleotide transfer RNA is filed under the name Bos taurus (domestic cattle). It matches the Rfam family "tRNA". From Rfam's summary of the family: Transfer RNA (tRNA) molecules are approximately 80 nucleotides in length. Lineage: Eukaryota; Metazoa; Chordata; Mammalia; Artiodactyla; Bovidae. RNAcentral also lists the same sequence under 2 other names. The record is from Rfam by way of RNAcentral.
UCCCUGGUGGUCCAGUGGCCAAGAUUUCAUGCUCCCAGGGCAGGGGGCCCAGGUUCAAUUCCUGGUCAGGGAA